This 1204-nucleotide long non-coding RNA is filed under the name Heterocephalus glaber (naked mole-rat). RNAcentral's name for it is "lncRNA (ENSHGLG00000031161.2)". Lineage: Eukaryota; Metazoa; Chordata; Mammalia; Rodentia; Bathyergidae. The record is from RNAcentral.
GUCAGUCUCUCCUCCCUGUAGCGUCAGGGAAAGGCUCGGGAGGGUGCCCAGAGAGAGAGGAUUUUCCCCGAAGAGCUCUGCCAUUCCUACGAAAUUCAGGACCUCUGUGGUUAGAAAGGAGACAGAAAUUUCUGCCCAGUUCUUUUGGACACGGAAGCGGGGCGAGAGGGCCAAGUCCUUGAUCACCAGCCUGUGAUCCCACUAAGGUUGCCCUUCCAGCCCUGGCUUCUUGGUCGUCUCGGAGGCAGCGAUUGGUGGCCCAGGCUAGCUUAGCAGUCACUGGAAAGGCAGGGUGCAGGAAGCCCUGAUUCCCUUGAGAGCUUUGGGCUUGGUGGAGUCCAGAGUCCGAUCUGUUCCUGUUUAGCUUCUCUGCCCUGUGCUGGCCCUUGGCUGAGUGUGUGUGUGUGUGUGUGUGUGUGUGUGUGUGUGUGUGUGUGUGUGUGUGGCUCUGAGCAGAUGCCCUCCCCAGCCCUCACACCAGAUGUCUUUGGUCUAAUUAACUCUGCUGGGAAAACCAACCUGGGUUUGUAAACAGAGCUACUGGCUAAAGUCAACAGGGAACAGCAGCAAACAGCAAACAUUCCCCUCACACUCAGCUCCUGUCCAAUUCAGCCCCUCUGCCCCCCAAGAGAGAGGGGUAGUGGGAUGGAUCAGAGCCCCCCUGCCCCCGCUGAGUCAGUGGAAGCCUGUCUGCCUCUGUGACCCCAAUAUGGCUGCCAUUUCCUUGCCUGUUCCAGGGUCUCUACUGGGAAGGAACGGGGAUUCUGGAAAGAGCAGUUGCCAUUCCGAGACAGGCUCUGUCCCCCUUCCAACCAUUUCUCUGUAAAUAUUGGCACCUUCUCGGCCAAACAUCUCAAUGCACCGGGAAGCCACUGUGGAGGGACUCCUUGAGGAGCUUUCUUUAGGGCCUGCCCUGCUUUUCUGUCUUGGAGAAGUCUCUGUGGGCAGGGCUUGGCAUUGUGAGUCUCAGCUCAGAGCUGGUGAAUAGAACGGACAUCAAUCAUCUCAGAGGCUAAAUAACAAGUGUUUCCUCACCAGCAGAAAAAAAAUCCUCUCCUGUUUUAACCACAUCCAGCCUCUUUAUUCGAGCGAGGCUUCCUGCUUCCUGCAACUGUGACACGCCCUUCUCCUUAGAGGAUUCUUAGUCUCAGAGGUCCCUGCCUUGCGCCUCAUUCCCUCAGGGCUCUACUCUGUGACUUUUAAG